CAAACAGACGUAACACCUUGAACGAUUUUCAUGGAAAUCCAUCGCCCAGUUCACACAACUCACCUGGUGGAAAAGUUGCACGAAUCACUGUGUUGUGCAAUAUCGUCAACAGAAAGCGCUAGUGUGAAACGUCAAACGCAUAGAAAAACGAUGCACGUGCCUCUGGUUGUGAAAACCACAACUGUGAAAAUUUAAAAUGAUCGUUAAAAGCGUGGUCGAUGGAAAUUUCGCAAGUGUUACGUCUGUUUGCCUGUGCUAUGUAUUUUGUGGUACCUUGUGGUAUGCACAUAAUAAAUUAUUGUAUUACUCUAUUACGUUUAGCGUGUAUGUUUACAUUGAGUAUCUGUCAUAUGUGGAGAUGUUGUUAUUGUUGUCUAGAGUGUGAAUCAUUGUAUGUAAUAUUGAAGUAUCGGUAAUAAAGUGUAUACAAAUAAUGAAUACAGUUGUUGAAUAAUCAUUACAGAGAAAGAUUCUCACAUUGGCGACGAGAACGGUGAACAGUGCAUGUGAAAUUAGUUUAAUUUCGGUUCGGGAAGUGUUGUCUUUGGAAAAAGAAAGAGAUGAGUGGUGUGUGUGUGGUGCAUGCAGAGUGGUGAUGACCUCCAGGUGAUGACUUGUGAUUGAAUUUCAACAUUGGAAUCAAAAAGGUACAACCACAAGUAACGGCCAAGUAAUUUACCAAAAUGCCGAGCAGAGAUGGAUGACCAAAUGGAUGACUGUACUUCUAAUUUUGAUGUGAGACUGAAGCGAGACGUUUAUAAACUGAGGAGACUAUAAGCGAAACAACGUGGAGUGACCUUGCUGCGGAUCUGGAGAAAAAACGAGAUGUGGUACCUUGUGGUAUGCACAUAAUAAAUUAUUGUAUUACUCUAUUACGUUUAGCGUGUAUGUUUACAUUGAGUAUCUGUCAUAUGUGGAGAUGUUGUUAUUGUUGUCUAGAGUGUGAAUCAUUGUAUGUAAUAUUGAAGUAUCGGUAAUAAAGUGUAUACAAAUAAUGAA
This is a long non-coding RNA of Aedes albopictus (Asian tiger mosquito), 999 nucleotides long. RefSeq lists it as uncharacterized. Lineage: Eukaryota; Metazoa; Arthropoda; Insecta; Diptera; Culicidae. The record is from RefSeq and is a predicted model, not a curated record. The transcript is spliced from 2 exons.